UGUAAAAAAUUUUAUCUAUUUGUAUUGUUAAAAAUUGAUGUGAUUGACAGAAUAACCAAACAGGGAUAUGUGAUGUGCCAUGUGUAUCUCAUGGUGACAGACAGAGACCAAUUUUUAACAGUAGAAAUGAAUAAUUUUUUUUAACA
This is a non-coding RNA of Gossypium raimondii (Peruvian cotton), 146 nucleotides long. NCBI's taxonomy places the organism in Eukaryota, Viridiplantae, Streptophyta, Magnoliopsida, Malvales, Malvaceae. The record is from Rfam.